Molecule: ribosomal RNA, 336 nt
Filed under: Triticum aestivum (bread wheat)
Lineage: Eukaryota; Viridiplantae; Streptophyta; Magnoliopsida; Poales; Poaceae
Description: partial small subunit ribosomal RNA
Source: RNAcentral
AAAGCUCGCGGCUUUCCUGGCAUGCUUGGCUCAAUAGAUUGCUUGCAUUGGAGUUGGAAGAAUUGUCCAAAGGCAUGGCAUGGGCAGUUCCAUGGCCAAAAAAAGGGUGCCACUAUAAUCCUUGAAGCGGUGGCCGAUCAAGAGACUUGGAUUUGGCAUGCAUUCUUUGGGAUCCAUGGAUCUUUGAACGACAUCAAUGUUGUCAACCGGUCACCACUGAUGAAUAAGAUUGCAAAUGGUGAGUUGCCACCAGUGCAGUUUGUAGCAAAUGGCCGUACAUACAACUAUGGCUAUUAUCUAGCGGAUGGCAUCUAUCCAAAGUGGCAAACCUUUGUC